UUUGGUGCCAAGAGGUGGCACUGUUCAUUUGGAAGUUUCUUCCGGAUUUUGCCCUGCUUGGGGGGUUUUUCACGGUUGUGCCACUUGCCUAAUCUUUAACGUCGUUAUUCUCUCCACCGCCGCUGUGGAUUCUAAUUUACUACUGGCGUAAUCGUCGUCCGCAAAUCCGCACCGCUUCCUCAGUUUUGUCAUUGUUUGUUCACUUGCUUAAUUAUUUCUUUUUAUCCUUUCAUUCUCCAAUCAGAUCCAAUUAUAACGGAUUGCAUAUGUGAUCCUUGCAAUCCGUGAACCACCUCAUCCAUCAGCCGUUGGUCUCAACCUGGAGCGAAGAGAGACUGACAGUGAGAUACGACGGAAUGACAAAGAAGAUAUUGCACAUAUGCUCAGUGGCUCAAAUUUAAUAUGACACUGCCACAAAACAUACAAGUUGAGAUAUGAGGUAAACAAAAAUGGCUCCAAUCCUCCUGACUCGAGUUCCAGAGAAAUCAACAACCUUUAUGUUCUCAAACAAGUUUCGGUAUUCGAAUGUGUACUGGUAAGAGUUUGUAGUCUUGAUUUGAAUUAGGUGUUUUGGGUGCUUUUGCUUUUAUGUCUCAAUUUCUGCUAAUUUAAUUCAAUUGGGUUAUGGAUGAUAGUGGGAUAGCGUAACCCCUGAUUAUUCUGCUUCUAAUGCUAAACUUAUAUGAAGCAGUUUUUUUGGUUUGAUGAAUCCACUCUCUUAAUAUUUCUGAUCUCUGAAUUGAUCAUCUUGACAUAUCCACAUAUUCCAAUGCUCUCUAAUUUUGCAGGGUCACCAGAUUUCUCAACAACCAGGGAAUGAAUUCCUCUGCUUCUUUCCCUCUCUUCUUUUACUCUGUGUUUGAUAAUUUCUGAGUCUGACUUAUUUACAGACUUAGGAUUUUGGGUAUAAAUUCAUUUUCUAACAUGUCACUAUUGAGGUCUAUUGCUUCUGUAUCUCUGGUGAGUUAGCUCUAUUGAUUGAUGAUUACUGAUUCACUGUAAUCCUUUUUUGUCAGGUGGUUAUGGAUAUGUUUACAAGAUUCAGAGGAAGACUGAGGGAAAGGUUUGUGAUUGAAGGCAUAUUGUGGGUUUGGUUGGUCCUCCUGGAGCUGGAAAGAGUACUCUUGCAUCCGAAGUAGUAAGGCGUGUGAACAACUUAUGGCCCCAGAAAGCUUCAGCAUUGGAUUCCCAGUCACUCCUCUAGAGGUGGCCACAGUUCUUCCCAUGGAUGGGUACCAUUUUUACCGUUCUCAGCUGGAUGCAAUGGAGGACAGACCACCAUUCUUUAGGUAAACUGUGCAAGGGCUCAACCCCUGUGACACCUGACUACAUGUGACGAAUUGCAGUAUAUAGUCCCCAUUCUUUAUUCUUGUAUUUUGUUGUAUUAUCCUUAACAGUACAUUGAAUUGCUUUGUGUUUUUCAUUUGCAGAAUGGUGUUGGGUGGUCAAAAGUCAGCAGUGUACCAGUUCAUAAAUAGUUUAGAGUUAUGCAUAUAGAGUUAUUUUGUGGUCUCUACUUGUACAUAGUUGUGACUUGAGAGUAUUUCAUUAAUAUAUAAACAUAUUCUAGUGUAUUACUAAAAACUAAAAGGCCUAGAAAGGUUUAUUUAUAUACCA
Argentina anserina (silverweed cinquefoil) is the source of this 1617-nucleotide long non-coding RNA. RefSeq lists it as uncharacterized. The record is from RefSeq and is a predicted model, not a curated record. The transcript has 4 exons. NCBI's taxonomy places the organism in Eukaryota, Viridiplantae, Streptophyta, Magnoliopsida, Rosales, Rosaceae.